This 472-nucleotide ribosomal RNA is filed under the name uncultured bacterium. RNAcentral describes it as "bacterial SSU rRNA". It matches the Rfam family "Bacterial small subunit ribosomal RNA", at positions 355 to 825 of the family's 1533-position model. The record is from RNAcentral.
UGGGGAAUUUUGGACAAUGGGGGCAACCCUGAUCCAGCCAUGCCGCGUGAGUGAAGAAGGCCUUCGGGUUGUAAAGCUCUUUCGGACGGAACGAAAUGGUCAGGGUGAAUAUCCCUGACUGAUGACGGUACUGUAAGAAGAAGCACCGGCUAACUACGUGCCAGCAGCCGCGGUAAUACGGAGGGUGCAAGCGUUGCUCGGAAUUACUGGGCGUAAAGGGUGCGUAGGCGGCCUUUCAAGUCCGGCGUGAAAGCCCAGGGCUCAGCCUUGGAAGUGCGCUAGAAACUGAAUGGCUAGAGUAUCGGAUGGGAGAGUGGAAUUCCUGGUGUAGCGGUGAAAUGCGUAGAUAUCAGGAGGAAUACCGGUGGCGAAGGCGACUCUCUGGACGAUAACUGACGCUGAGGCACGAAAGCGUGGGGAGCAAACAGGAUUAGAUACCCGAGUAGUCCCUGAGCGGGCUGGCAAGGCGCAU